RNAcentral lists this ribosomal RNA (392 nucleotides) under uncultured Pseudoflavonifractor sp. RNAcentral describes it as "bacterial SSU rRNA". It matches the Rfam family "Bacterial small subunit ribosomal RNA", at positions 355 to 760 of the family's 1533-position model. Lineage: Bacteria; Bacillati; Bacillota; Clostridia; Eubacteriales; Oscillospiraceae. The record is from RNAcentral.
UGGGGAAUAUUGGGCAAUGGGGCGCAAGCCUGACCCAGCAACGCCGCGUGAAGGAAGAAGGCUUUCGGGUUGUAAACUUCUUUUGUCAGGGACGAGUAGAAGACGGUACCUGACGAAUAAGCCACGGCUAACUACGUGCCAGCAGCCGCGGUAAUACGUAGGUGGCAAGCGUUGUCCGGAUUUACUGGGUGUAAAGGGCGUGUAGGCGGGAGAGCAAGUCAGAAGUGAAAUCCAUGGGCUUAACCCAUGAACUGCUUUUGAAACUGUUCUUCUUGAGUAUCGGAGAGGCAGGCGGAAUUCCUAGUGUAGCGGUGAAAUGCGUAGAUAUUAAGGAGGAACACCAGUGGCGAAGGCGGCCUGCUGGACGACAACUGACGCUGAGGCGCGAAAGC